UUUUACCUUCCAUCCUCCUGAAUCCAAACAAAACCUAAAACCUAGUUGUGAUUCAUUUUAUUUGCCGGGACGGGACCAUUUAUCAUGCACACUUAAUAAGGGAUGGCUGAAUCUGUUGUUGUUGGUGAGAUUAUAAUUGUGAAUAAAAUUUGUGUUGGUGAAUACGAGAGAGGGAGAAGCUUACUAUACGAUCCAAUAUCCAUUACCUACCACAAUAAAUACCCAUCCAACCUUUUCCAUUAAGCUCCCCUGUGAAACCCUUGUGUUAGUAUAUAAUGUAAUGUGUAGAUAUACAGAUAUAAACCACAUAUACAAGUACAUAUAAGAAAGCUGCUAUCAAACAAGACCAAAGAGAGAAAAGGAAAGAAAAUGAAGGCUCCUUCACAACAAGAGAUGUCAUAUUAUGAUCAUGUCAAGAGACGCCAUCAGGAUAAAGGCUGCCUCUAUGCCUUUUUGUUUACACUGUGCUGCUGCUUUUGCUGCUAUGAGGCGUGUGAGUGUUGCGUGGAGGUUACCUGCUGCUGCUGUGCCUAGAUCUACUGCCAUCUUUAUGUUUUGUCAUUAUAAUUUGGAAUUUAAUAAAUUUUAAUCCAUUUUCACAA
Long non-coding RNA from Carica papaya (papaya), 602 nucleotides. RefSeq lists it as uncharacterized. NCBI's taxonomy places the organism in Eukaryota, Viridiplantae, Streptophyta, Magnoliopsida, Brassicales, Caricaceae. The record is from RefSeq and is a predicted model, not a curated record.